AUGCCUUGUUCAUGUGUGGUGUGUUUACUAUGUUGUGUGCUUCUUCUUGUUAGUUCCUGUUUCGUUGCGAUCGUGAGGAUUCGUUCGUCUUCGCUUGGUUCGGCUUCAUUCAUUCGUCUUCUUCAUGGACUCGUUCUUCUUCCUUGCGGGAUUUCAGGCAAGAUGACCGCUACCCUGGAUCUCACUACUAUCAUUGCUAUGCUAGUUGCUUCGUUCUAUCCUAUGAUACGCUACCUAUUACCUGUUUAUCAAGCCAUCCCAUAUUGCCAUGAACCUCUAACCUUUGACACCUUACCUAUGCAAACCGUUGCUUGGCUAUGUUACCGCUUUUGCUCAGCCCCUCUUAUAGCGUUGCUAGUUGCAGGUGAAGUUGAAGAUUGCUCCAUGGUGAACAGGAUUUUGGUUGGGAUAUCACAAUAUCCCUUAUAUUAUUAA
This 435-nucleotide ribosomal RNA is filed under the name Triticum aestivum (bread wheat). Its description in RNAcentral is "partial small subunit ribosomal RNA". The record is from RNAcentral. Lineage: Eukaryota; Viridiplantae; Streptophyta; Magnoliopsida; Poales; Poaceae.